RNAcentral lists this long non-coding RNA (907 nucleotides) under Gossypium barbadense (sea-island cotton). RNAcentral describes it as "long non-coding RNA (GBAR_LNC013311)". Lineage: Eukaryota; Viridiplantae; Streptophyta; Magnoliopsida; Malvales; Malvaceae. The record is from RNAcentral.
AAAAAAACCAAGAAAGCCUCUCACCACUUUCCCCCUUUCUGGGCACCGGCCUAAACUCCGGUGAGGGAUCCGACCACCGGCCACCGCGUCGGCAACGGCGCCGUCGUAUGCGAUGGCUGAAAAAACCAAAAACCUCCGUUCCGACCCUUUUAACCUCUCAAACCCAGAUCUGAGUUCCAAAUCCCUUGAAUAUUAAUAAAAUACCUCAAAAGCCCAAGAAACAUUUCGGUUUCUGGCCACCUAUCAUCGGAGGCGACUUCCUCGGCCUUCUUCGACGUUGAAGACCCGAAUAUAGGUAAGUUAUUUCUUUUUCUCUUUUUUUUAAAAAAAAAACUGAUUCGUAAAAAAAAUAAAAGAAAUAAAAUGAAUAAAUCAGAGAAAAAAAAGAAGGCAACCUUUGUUUUCCUUUUUAUUUCCAAUCUGUAAAGAAAAUGACCAGAAGAAGCCUACAAUGUUAAUAUUUUGGCCUUUAUAGCCGAUUUGAAAAGCCCCUAAAUUUCUAUUUUGUCGUUUUGUUGUUUGGCCUGUUUUACUGUUGCGUGUGGUUUCGUUUUGCAGGUGUCAAACGCGUGGAGGUGGCUGGCAUACGGCGACAGUGUCAGAGGCGUGCGCUGGAGGUGGACUUAGGUGUGUCGCACCUAGGGUUUCUGCCUCUCAUUUUGCUAAAAAUGUUUUUAGUUUAUGGUCUGGUUAUUUGGGCUUAGGGUUUUUUAAUAUUGGGCCUAUUAAGGGUGCUUUGGGCUAUUUGGGUUUAAUUUGUUUUGGGUUAUUAUUUUUUUGUUUGUUUUUGCUUGGGCAAAAUUGGCCCAUAACAAUAUGUAUUUUCAAACUGCCACAAUAGCUACCAGGAAAUAAUUGAUAAGCGUAUCAGUUGGGUAAAUAAUUAUGAGACGAUGUCUUAUCCUGU